UGCCAGACUCCUACGGGAGGCAGCAGUGGGGAAUAUUGCACAAUGGGGGAAACCCUGAUGCAGCGACGCCGCGUGGGUGAAGAAGCGCCUCGGCGCGUAAAGCCCUGUCAGCAGGGAAGAAAAUGACGGUACCUGAAGAAGAAGCCCCGGCUAACUACGUGCCAGCAGCCGCGGUAAUACGUAGGGGGCAAGCGUUAUCCGGAUUUACUGGGUGUAAAGGGAGCGUAGACGGCAUGGCAAGUCUGAAGUGAAAGCCCGGGGCUCAACCGCGGGACUGCUUUGGAAACUGUUAAGCUGGAGUGCAGGAGAGGUAAGUGGAAUUCCUAGUGUAGCGGUGAAAUGCGUAGAUAUUAGGAGGAACACCAGUGGCGAAGGCGGCUUACUGGACUGUAACUGACGUUGAGGCUCGAAAGCGUGGGGAGCAAACAGGAUUAGAUACCCCCGUA
Molecule: ribosomal RNA, 446 nt
Filed under: uncultured bacterium
Lineage: Bacteria
Description: bacterial SSU rRNA
Rfam family: Bacterial small subunit ribosomal RNA
Source: RNAcentral